This is a non-coding RNA of Poecilia reticulata (guppy), 469 nucleotides long. The record is from RefSeq and is a predicted model, not a curated record. Lineage: Eukaryota; Metazoa; Chordata; Actinopteri; Cyprinodontiformes; Poeciliidae.
GCUGGGUUGAGAAUGGGGGAAGGAUUUGCUCUGGAGACGAGGAUUUGAAGGCUGUGGAGACUGAGUUCUUAGACGUUUCUGAUCUCAGGCCUGAGUACAACGUCUACAAAGCUGUGUACACUCUGGCAUACGCACUUGAUGAGCUGCUGAGGUGUGAACCAGGAAAAGGGCCUUUUAGUGAGGAAAGCUGUGCAACUUUGCAAACACUUCAACCAUGGCAGCUGGUGUAUUAUCUAGAGAGGGUUAAUUUCACCACAUCAUUYGGUGACCAAGUGUCAUUUGAUGAGAAUGGUGAUGCCUUACCAAUAUAUGACGUCAUGAACUGGCUCUGGCUCCCUAAUGGACAAACGAAAGUUCAACAUGUAGGCGACGUAAAAAUGUCGCCUUUUAAUGGYGAACAACUCACACUUGAUGGAGACAAAAUCUUCUGGAACUUUGAAUCGAAAAAGCCACCGCGGUCAGUGUGCAG